GAUGAAGAACGUAGCAAAAUGCGAUACUUGGUGUGAAUAGCAGAAUCCCGUGAACCAUCGAGUUUUUGAACGCAAGUUGCGCCCGAAGCCUUUUGGCCGAGGGCACGUCUGCCUGGGCGUCACGCAUCGCGUCGCCCCCCACAAUUCUCCGUAAAGGGAACGUGUGUUUUGGGGGCGGAUAUUGGUCUCCCGUGCUCAUGGCGUGGUUGGCCGAAAUAGGAGUCCUUUCGAUGGACGCACGAACUAGUGGUGGUCGUAAAAACCCUCGUCUUUUGUUUCGUGCUGUUGCUCGCAAGGUAAACUCUUUAAAAACCCCAAUGUGUCGUCUCUUGACGACGCUUCGACCGCGACCCCAGGUCAGGCGGGACUACCCGCUGAGUUUAAGCAUAUCAAUAAGCGGAGGA
RNAcentral lists this unclassified non-coding RNA (404 nucleotides) under soil metagenome. Its description in RNAcentral is "partial contains 5.8S ribosomal RNA, internal transcribed spacer 2, and large subunit ribosomal RNA". The stretch from base 1 to 122 matches the Rfam family "5.8S ribosomal RNA", at positions 35 to 154 of the family's 154-position model. The record is from RNAcentral.